This 73-nucleotide transfer RNA is filed under the name Bos taurus (domestic cattle). It matches the Rfam family "tRNA". Rfam says of the family: Transfer RNA (tRNA) molecules are approximately 80 nucleotides in length. Their secondary structure includes four short double-helical elements and three loops (D, anti-codon, and T loops). RNAcentral also lists the same sequence under 2 other names. The record is from Rfam by way of RNAcentral. Lineage: Eukaryota; Metazoa; Chordata; Mammalia; Artiodactyla; Bovidae.
UCCUUGGUGGUCCAAUGGUUAAGACUCCAAGCUUCCACUGCGGAGGGCACAGGUUCAAUCCCUGGUUAAGGAA